AUUGAACGCUGGCGGCAUGCCUAACACAUGCAAGUCGAGCGAGCGGCGGGAGGGUGAGUAAGGUAUGGGAAUCUGUCCGUUAGAGAGGGAUAACUACGGGAAACGGUAGCUAAUACCGCAUACAAUCGGAUGAACCCCUAUGGGAUUAGCUAGUCGGUGAGGUAAUGGCUCACCAAGGCGACGAUCCCUAGCGGGCCUGAGAGGAUGAUCGGCCACACUGGGACGGAGACACGGCCCAGACUCCUACGGGAGGCAGCAGUGGGGAAUAUUGCACAAUGGGCGCAAGUCUGAUGCAGCCAUGCCGCGUGUAUGAAGAAGGUCUUAGGGUUGUAAAGUACUUUCAGUCGAGAAGCGUUACCGACCGAGGAAGCACCGGCUAACUCCGUGCCAGCAGCCGCGGUAAUAC
This 406-nucleotide ribosomal RNA is filed under the name uncultured bacterium. RNAcentral's name for it is "partial 16S ribosomal RNA". It matches the Rfam family "Bacterial small subunit ribosomal RNA", at positions 30 to 526 of the family's 1533-position model. The record is from RNAcentral.